AUUUAUAUAGUUUAAAAAUAAAACAUUACAUUUUCAUUGUAAAAAUAAUAUAGAUUUUAUUUAUAAAUA
This 69-nucleotide transfer RNA is filed under the name Inocellia sinensis. RNAcentral's name for it is "tRNA-Glu". Lineage: Eukaryota; Metazoa; Arthropoda; Insecta; Raphidioptera; Inocelliidae. The record is from RNAcentral.